This 72-nucleotide transfer RNA is filed under the name Dipodomys ordii (Ord's kangaroo rat). It matches the Rfam family "tRNA". From Rfam's summary of the family: Transfer RNA (tRNA) molecules are approximately 80 nucleotides in length. Their secondary structure includes four short double-helical elements and three loops (D, anti-codon, and T loops). Lineage: Eukaryota; Metazoa; Chordata; Mammalia; Rodentia; Heteromyidae. The record is from Rfam by way of RNAcentral.
GGCUGCAUAGCUUAGUGGUAGAGCACCUACCUAGCAAGCAUGAGGCCAUGAGUUCAAAUCCCAAUACUGCUA